AUGAGUCUAAUCAGUUUAUCAUGUUAACAGUAACUAGAUUGUUGCCAAACAGCCUUGUGUUCUAAGGGACCCCCCACACGGAAGAAACCCCACUUAAAGAAGUGUAAAGGAUUUUCUUCUACCUUUGAACUUUUUUCUCUCCUUAAACACCGUUCUCAGAGAGAGAAAGGUAAAAGUUGACUUGCUCAGGCAAGCGGCAGGGAGGCGCAGCAGCCACGCGGGGCCACUCCUCGUGCUUUCCACGCAAGGCCACAGCCACCUCACCAGGAGAUCUCCUCCCCGGUCUGCCACAAAUAUACUGCCUUGCUCUACCGGCGUCUUGCUGGCACCUUCCAGAGCCUACUUUCUUAGACUUGUGUCGGGCCAUCUUCAGCCCCAGAGGUUUUGAUUCUUCGUGUGGGAUGUGGCCCAAGAACUGGCAUUUUAACGGGAGCCCUGUGUGCUGCUUUGGGCCACAUCUGGAGAACGCCUGAUCGAGAAUGACGAUCACAAAGGUUUACAGGUCACAACGUCCCCACAUCAUCCGGUGGGUUUGACUUUAUUAAGCAAAGGACUGCCCUGGAGUCAUCACCCCAGCCCUGGUCCGUCUGAAUAAACUGACUGUAAAGCUGUUCCCCAACGGUCUUCGAUGCGACAAGGGGAGGAGAUGCGGACAGUGUCAUUCAUUCCUCCAGCGUGCUUGCUGUUUAACAAGUAGUACACGAGUGGAAAUCUAUCAGUAUUGCUUCGCUAAUUCUAACAAGCUACCGUUCGAAUGUAAGGUGUUCAUACUAGGGGAAAAGGGGUGCACGGUAUGUGGGGGCUCUCUGUACCAUCGUCUCAAUUUCUCUGUAAGUCUAAAAACCCUUCUAAAAAUAGGCUCUUUUUUUAAAUUGUUUAUUCAUUUUUGAGAGAGAGAGGGAGACACAGAAUCGGAAGCAGGCUCUAGGCUCUGAGCCAUCAGCCCAGAGCCCGACGCGGGGCUCGAACUCAUGCACCGCGAGAUCGUGACCUGAGCUGAAGUCAGACGCUUAACCGACUGAGCCACCCAGGUGCCCCCCUAGUAGGCUAUUUAAAACAAACAAACAAACAAACAAACUAUGAUACAUGCUACCCACCAGAAUGCCUUAAAGUAAAAAGAAAGUUCCAAGUGUUGGCAAGACUGAGCAGCACCAAGAAGUCCCCCACACUGCUGAUGGGGCUGUAAGCUGGUAUGCCCACUUUCUAAAACUGCCUGGCAGGACCCACUAAGGCUACAUAUUUGUGUUCGCUACGGUUUUGCACUCCUGAGUAUAUACCCAACAGAAACAGGUCCAGGAGCUCACCGAAAGAUGCAUAUGGAGCCGCAGUAUUCAUAACCAAUCCAGACUGGGUCUUAGCAAAAUGCCCGUCAAUUAAAAAACAACAACCGCUAAGUCAAUUGUGGUAUGUUCCCAGACUGAGAUAUCGCACAGCAGCGCAAAGAAAGAAACCUGAAGUAUGUGCAGCAACAAAGGUAACACGGAGGGAAAGAAAGGACACACAGAAGAAGGCACGUCAUGUGAUUCUACUUGUAAACAGUUCCAAGUAAUCCGUGCCAAUAAAAGCCAGGAUAAGGGCAAAAGGUGCGGGUAGAGGUGAAAGAGCUUUUCUGGGGCCGGUGAUAAUCUGCUUGGGGCAGGGUUCCGGGCACGUGGGCGUGUUCCGUCUGUGAAAAUUCACUGAGCUGUAUGCUUAGCAUUUGUGCCUUUUUCUGUGCAGAGGUAGGUCACGGCAGUUUUUACAAAAGCAACUGAUGAUUUCGCUGGGGAAAGAAUAUAGAACGAACCAGCCCAGUGGGGUUACCCAACUAGACAGCCUCGGUCUGAAUCCCACGGUUACCGCCUAUACGCUGCCUGACCCCAGGCUCCCGGGCACCGGUCCAGAGGCUUGACAACGAGCCACAUUUGGGACUGCCAGAAACUGCCACAAAAGAGUCCGCCCAGAGGGCCUGUGGGAAUCGCUGGGGAGGAGAGCGCGAUUCAGUCAGGAGCCGCACCAGGCGCCAUGCCAGGCCAGGCCGGAGGCCCCUGACGCUACCUGCUGGCUGGGGCAGGCCCUGGGCCCUCGCUUUUCCUCCAGCUCCCUGCCGGAACCUUCCUUCCCAUCGCGGGGCUCCUCCAAACACAGCCCGCUGGGCCGGGGCUGCUUUCACAGGCCAGAGAGGGGAAGCAACAGACCCAAGAGCAGGAGCGUCCUACCUUCCAGAAUGGAGCCCGUGCACACCACGGCACCCUCUCUCCACCGAGUCUGUUCUCCCCUGAACACCCCUGGCGGACGAGGAACCCCCCCUUACAGGCCUCCUCCAGAGUCCCCACAAUCAGGUGUCCGUGGCAGGCUGCGAUCCG
Molecule: long non-coding RNA, 2345 nt
Organism: Acinonyx jubatus (cheetah)
Lineage: Eukaryota; Metazoa; Chordata; Mammalia; Carnivora; Felidae
Exons: 3
Source: RefSeq, a predicted model, not a curated record